Molecule: long non-coding RNA, 402 nt
Organism: Vidua macroura (Pin-tailed whydah)
Lineage: Eukaryota; Metazoa; Chordata; Aves; Passeriformes; Viduidae
Exons: 4
Source: RefSeq, a predicted model, not a curated record
GGGGAUUUGGGCCUUUUUCCUUGGCCUUGAGUUUUUACAAUUUCCUUUGUGUUUUAAGCUGAAUUCUCCCUGUUUGUGAGGGGAAUUUCAGUCCUCAAAGAGGUGAAUUCUCCCCGUUUGUGAGGGGAAUGUGCCUGAAUUUCAACCCUCAAAAAGCUGAAUUCUCCCCGUUUGUGAGGGGAAUGUGCCUGAAUUUCAGCCCUCAACAAGCCCUUCUGAGGGCAUUCAGCCACAGGCCAGGAAAAUGAUUUCCAUUUUAAAACAAAGCAGAAAAGAAGCGGCGCUCAGAGGAUGAAAAUUCCUGGAGCUGCACUCUCCCAGCUCUGCUAUCUCCUCAUUUUCCCAGGAAAAUUAUUCCAAUCUUUCCCCCUCAUCCCCUCCACCCUUGGAAGCUGAGAAACG